AAAUCCCAUCCGGUAAGGUAUUAGCCACACCGCCGGUAACGACCUUGAGCCAGCCAGAGCAAUCGGGAAGGUUAAGCGUAGGAAGAUAGGUAAUAGGGAUAGUGAUUGAGCAUCGAAAGACCCUAAUCCAGCAGGCCGAUGCUGUUGACAUAGCAGAAGGCUAUAGGUAAGUUUAUCGUUAUGGCAAGACAU
RNAcentral lists this non-coding RNA (192 nucleotides) under uncultured Blautia sp. Lineage: Bacteria; Bacillati; Bacillota; Clostridia; Lachnospirales; Lachnospiraceae. The record is from RNAcentral.